Molecule: transfer RNA, 87 nt
Filed under: Kitasatospora griseola
Lineage: Bacteria; Bacillati; Actinomycetota; Actinomycetes; Kitasatosporales; Streptomycetaceae
Description: tRNA-Gly
Source: RNAcentral
GCACCAGGAGCCCCAGACGUUGAGGACGACCACCUUGCCGCGGUAGUCGGAGAGCUUGAGCGUGCCGGUGCCGUCCAGCCCGGUGCC